AGAGUUUGAUCCUGGCUCAGGACGAACGCUGGCGGCGUGGAUUAGGCAUGCAAGUCGAACGGUAUGGUGCUUUCGGGCAUCAGAGAGUGGCGAACGGGUGAGUAACACGUAGGUGAUCUACCCUCAAGACGGGGACAACCCAGGGAAACUUGGGCUAAUACCGGAUGAUAGCAGCAGUGAUGUUGUUUAAAAGAUGGCUUUCGGGCUGUCGUUUGGGGAUGAGCCUGCGUCCUAUUAGCUAGUUGGUGUGGUAAAGGCACACCAAGGCGAUGAUAGGUAGGCGGCCUUAACGGGUGGUCGCCCACACUGGGAUUGAGAUACGGCCCAGACUCCUACGGGAGGCAGCAGUCGAGAAUAGUCUACAAUGGUCGGAAGACUGAUAGUGCGACGCCGCGUGAACGAGGAAUCCCUUCGGGGUGUAAAGUUCUUUUAUAUGUGAGCAGUGCUUCUUAUAUUAAGAGUAUGGGGAGAGAGAUAUUAGCAUAUGAAUAAGCAACGGCUAACUCCGUGCCAGCAGCCGCGGUAACACGGGGGUUGCGAGCGUUGUCCGGAAUUACUAGGCGUAAAGGGCAGGUAGGCGGAUCUAUAAGUUUUUUGUUAAAUUCAACGGCUCACCCGUUGCUCGGCAGGAGAUACUGUAGAUCUGGAAUGCGGUUGGGGAAGACAGAAUUCCUGGUGUAGCGGUGGAAUGCGCAGAGAUCAGGAGGAAUACCGAAGGCGAAGGCAGUCUUCUAAGCCGAUAUUGACGCUAAACUGCGAAGGUGUGGGGAUCAAACAGGAUUAGAUACCCUGGUAGUCCACACAGUAAACGAUAAUCACUAGGUGUUGGGUUCGUAUAGGACUCGGUGCCGGAGCUAACGCGAUAAGUGAUUCGCCUGGGGAGUACGAUCGCAAGGUUGAAACUCAAAGGAAUUGACGGGGGCCCGCACAAGCGGUGGAGCAUGUGGUUUAAUUCGA
RNAcentral lists this ribosomal RNA (957 nucleotides) under Candidatus Cloacimonetes bacterium ADurb.Bin088. RNAcentral's name for it is "bacterial SSU rRNA". It matches the Rfam family "Bacterial small subunit ribosomal RNA", at positions 8 to 954 of the family's 1533-position model. Lineage: Bacteria; Pseudomonadati; Candidatus Cloacimonadota. The record is from RNAcentral.